Molecule: transfer RNA, 73 nt
Filed under: Anaerolineae bacterium
Lineage: Bacteria; Bacillati; Chloroflexota; Anaerolineae
Description: tRNA-Trp
Rfam family: tRNA
About the family: Transfer RNA (tRNA) molecules are approximately 80 nucleotides in length.
Source: RNAcentral
AGGUGGGUAGCUCAACUGGUAGAGCAGCGGUCUCCAAAACCGCAGGGUGUAGGUUCGAUCCCUAUCUCACCUG